UGGGCCCGUAGCUCAGCGGUAGAGCACCUCCUUUGCAAGGAGGACGCCCUGGGUUCAACUCCCAGCGGGUCCAU
Molecule: transfer RNA, 74 nt
Filed under: Halobellus salinus
Lineage: Archaea; Methanobacteriati; Methanobacteriota; Halobacteria; Halobacteriales; Haloferacaceae
Description: tRNA-Ala
Rfam family: tRNA
About the family: Transfer RNA (tRNA) molecules are approximately 80 nucleotides in length.
Source: RNAcentral